This 342-nucleotide unclassified non-coding RNA is filed under the name soil metagenome. Its description in RNAcentral is "partial contains 5.8S ribosomal RNA, internal transcribed spacer 2, and large subunit ribosomal RNA". The stretch from base 1 to 120 matches the Rfam family "5.8S ribosomal RNA", at positions 35 to 154 of the family's 154-position model. The record is from RNAcentral.
GAUGAAGAACGCAGCGAAAUGCGAUAAGUAGUGUGAAUUGCAGAAUUCAGUGAAUCAUCGAAUCUUUGAACGCGCAUUGCGGCCAUAGGUAUUCCUUUGGCCAUGCCUGUUCGAGCGUCAUUUACACCCUCAAGCCUAGCUUGGUGUUGGGCGUCUGUCCCGCCGUUCUUGCGCGCGGACUCGCCUCAAAGUCAUUGGCGGCGGUCGUGCCGGCCCCCUCGCGCAGCACAUUUGCGGUUCUCGGAGGCCCGGCGGAUCCGCGCUCCAGCAAGACCUUUCACGACUUGACCUCGGAUCAGGUAGGGAUACCCGCUGAACUUAAGCAUAUCAAUAAGCGGAGGA